This 293-nucleotide unclassified non-coding RNA is filed under the name uncultured Leotiomycetes. RNAcentral's name for it is "sequence contains ITS1". The stretch from base 1 to 105 matches the Rfam family "5.8S ribosomal RNA", at positions 50 to 154 of the family's 154-position model. Lineage: Eukaryota; Fungi; Ascomycota; Leotiomycetes. The record is from RNAcentral.
GAAAUGCGAUAAGUAAUGUGAAUUGCAGAAUUCAGUGAAUCAUCGAAUCUUUGAACGCACAUUGCGCCCUGUGGUAUUCCGCAGGGCAUGCCUGUUCGAGCGUCAGUACAACACUCAAGCCUAGCUUGGUCUUGGGCCCCGCCGGAGACGGCGGGCCUUAAAAUCAGUGGCGGCGCCCGUCGGGCCCUCAGCGUAGUAAUCAUCCUCGCUUCAGGGACCCGGUGGACGCUGGCCAGCAACCUCAACUUUCUCAGUUUGACCUCGGAUCAGGUAGGGAUACCCGCUGAACUUAA